This 31-nucleotide non-coding RNA is filed under the name Homo sapiens (human). Lineage: Eukaryota; Metazoa; Chordata; Mammalia; Primates; Hominidae. The record is from RNAcentral.
UCCAGGAGUGAGGGUUUCCAUGUAAACCAUC